Molecule: non-coding RNA, 881 nt
Organism: Anolis sagrei ordinatus
Lineage: Eukaryota; Metazoa; Chordata; Lepidosauria; Squamata; Anolidae
Source: RefSeq, a predicted model, not a curated record
CAUUAUAUUUCUGGAUCUCGUAUAGUAAAGUGUUUAAAGAAGCAAUGGUCAGAAGCACCCCAAUGCAGAGUUAAUACAGGAAAAUGUGGUCAUCCACCUUCUAUUGAAAAUGGAGAUUUUAUUGAACUUGUAAAAGAAGAAUAUAAAUCGGGUGAUUGGGUGACAUACAAAUGCCAACGUUUCUACAACAUGAAAGGAAAUGCAGUAGUACGUUGUCAAGAUGGCCUUUGGUCGGACACCCCAGAGUGCAUAGUUCCAUGUACAGCAAGUGAGGAAGACAUGGAACAUAACAAUAUAAGGCUGAGGUGGUCAUGGGCUGAAAAAAUAUAUAACAAAGAUGGUGAUAUAACAGAAUUUAUAUGUAAACGGGGCUAUCGUCCAGUUGUGCCUCUUUCCCAAUUCAGAGUACAAUGUGUCAAUGGCACAUUUAGAUACCCACGAUGUCAAUGAUAUGUGUGAAUAUAAGGAAUGGGGAGAAGUGUACAAGGAAGAUUUUUCAUGAGCAUGCCAUUGUCAGAAAAGAUAGCUUAAUUAUCUUCAAUAGCUUAAAAUUACUCUAGAUUUUUGCAAACACAUUUUUCAAAGAUUAUACACAGCUACUUCUAAUGGACUGUGAACAUUUUAACAGACAUGUCAUUUUUAGAAAACAGAACUCCAAUAUUUGUAAAGGGUGAAGUUAUAGGAAGCCCAUUGUCAAUUUCCAAACAAGCAAAUGUAUUGAAAGCGGAAAAAAAUAAAUGCAUGUACUGUGAGUAUGAACUCAUAAUGGGGUUUAACAGACUAAAGAAUACAGUAGCUGUAUAUAAUUUCAGUAGUUACUUUUUGUUUGUAAAAUGUUUGUGUAUUUUGAAAAAUAAAAUAAAAAGCACCUAUUUGCAAAA